AAAAAGCAGAGCUGAGGCAACUGGCUGCAGAAGUUAUGAAGCUUACCGCUGAACUUAGACGUGCAGUCCAAGCACACCACAAUCUCACACACCUCUAUAGACCAGUACUGCGAAACAUAGAGAAUAACCUAAUGAAAAUGAAGCAAGAAACCUUUGCAUAAUAUGGCGAUGAUAGUGGAGGUCCAUGAAGUGAUACGGUUGAUGGCUACUGAACUGGAGCAUGAUGAGCCUACUCCUUAUCCAGAAGAUGAUCGACAGAUGUUGUGGCUACUUUUCAGAGGUUGGUGCUUGAACUCCACAAUUUGAUAAUUUUUAAAGUUUCCAAUUCCAGUUUAUUCUAGCUUUGAGUUUAUUGAUAUUGACUAGCGCUUCACCAUGUGAUAAGU
This is a non-coding RNA of Phoenix dactylifera (date palm), 386 nucleotides long. Lineage: Eukaryota; Viridiplantae; Streptophyta; Magnoliopsida; Arecales; Arecaceae. The record is from RefSeq and is a predicted model, not a curated record.